RNAcentral lists this ribosomal RNA (270 nucleotides) under uncultured archaeon. RNAcentral describes it as "partial 16S ribosomal RNA". It matches the Rfam family "Archaeal small subunit ribosomal RNA", at positions 477 to 747 of the family's 1478-position model. The record is from RNAcentral.
CAGCACCUCAAGUGGUCAGGAUGAUUAUUGGGCCUAAAGCAUCCGUAGCCGGCUCUGUAAGUUUUCGGUUAAAUCUGUACGCUCAACGUACAGGCUGCCGGGAAUACUGCAGCGCUAGGGAGUGGGAGAGGUAGACGGUACUCGGUAGGAAGGGGUAAAAUCCUUUGAUCUAUUGAUGACCACCUGCGGCGAAGGCGGUCUACCAGAACACGUCCGACGGUGAGGGAUGAAAGCUGGGGGAGCAAACCGGAUUAGAUACCCGCGUAGUCC